Molecule: ribosomal RNA, 1482 nt
Filed under: uncultured prokaryote
Description: partial 16S ribosomal RNA
Rfam family: Bacterial small subunit ribosomal RNA
Source: RNAcentral
AGUUUGAUCCUGGCUCAGGAUGAACGCUAGCGGCAGGCUUAACACAUGCAAGUCGAGGGGUAACAUUGUAGCUUGCUACAGAUGACGACCGGCGCACGGGUGCGUAACGCGUAUAGAACCUACCUUUUACUGGAGAAUAGCCUUUAGAAAUGAAGAUUAAUGCUCCAUAGUAUUGCGACUCGGCAUCGGGUUGUAAUUAAAGAUUUAUUGGUAAAAGAUGGCUAUGCGUCCUAUUAGUUAGAUGGUAAGGUAACGGCUUACCAUGACAUCGAUAGGUAGGGGUCCUGAGAGGGAGAUCCCCCACACUGGUACUGAGACACGGACCAGACUCCUACGGGAGGCAGCAGUGAGGAAUAUUGGACAAUGGAGGCAACUCUGAUCCAGCCAUGCCGCGUGCAGGAAGACGGCCCUAUGGGUUGUAAACUGCUUUUAUACAGGAAGAAACCACCCUACGUGUAGGGUGCUGACGGUACUGUAAGAAUAAGGACCGGCUAACUCCGUGCCAGCAGCCGCGGUAAUACGGAGGGUCCAAGCGUUAUCCGGAAUCAUUGGGUUUAAAGGGUCCGUAGGCGGACUAUUAAGUCAGUGGUGAAAUCUCGGGGCUCAACCCCGAAACUGCCAUUGAUACUGCUGGUCUUGAAUACGGUUGAAGUAGGCGGAAUGUAGCAUGUAGCGGUGAAAUGCAUAGAUAUGCUACAGAACACCGAUCGCGAAGGCAGCUUACUAAGCCGAUAUUGACGUUCAGGCACGAAAGCGUGGGUAGCGAACAGGAUUAGAUACCCUGGUAGUCCACGCCGUAAACGAUGAUCACUCGUUGUUGGCAAUACACAGUCAGUGACUAAGGGAAACCGAUAAGUGAUCCACCUGGGGAGUACGAUCGCAAGGUUGAAACUCAAAGGAAUUGACGGGGGCCCGCACAAGCGGUGGAGCAUGUGGUUUAAUUCGAUGAUACGCGAGGAACCUUACCUGGGCUCAAAUGUAAGUUGACAGAUUCUGAAAGGGAUUUUUCUUCGGACAAUUUACAAGGUGCUGCAUGGUUGUCGUCAGCUCGUGCCGUGAGGUGUCGGGUUAAGUCCCAUAACGAGCGCAACCCCUACUCUUAGUUGCCAGCAUGUAAUGAUGGGGACUCUAGGAGAACUGCCUACGCAAGUAGAGAGGAAGGUGGGGAUGACGUCAAAUCAGCACGGCCCUUACGUCCAGGGCUACACACGUGCUACAAUGGCCGGUACAGAGGGCAGCCACCUGGUGACAGGGAGCGAAUCUCUAAAGCCGGUCUCAGUUCGGAUCGAAGUCUGCAACCCGACUUCGUGAAGCUGGAAUCGCUAGUAAUCGCGCAUCAGCCAUGGCGCGGUGAAUACGUUCCCGGGCCUUGUACACACCGCCCGUCAAGCCAUGGAAGCUGGGGGUACCUGAAGUCAGUGACCAUUUAGGAGCUGCCUAGGGUAAAACUAGUGACUGGGGCUAAGUCGUAACAAGGUAACC